This 1493-nucleotide long non-coding RNA is filed under the name Lotus japonicus. RNAcentral's name for it is "long non-coding RNA (LJAP_LNC000939)". The record is from RNAcentral. Lineage: Eukaryota; Viridiplantae; Streptophyta; Magnoliopsida; Fabales; Fabaceae.
CAACAAUGACAAAUUCAAUUGGCAACUUGGCUGGAGGUGUCUUGAACGAAAACUCAGGUCCAGACCCGCCACACCGGUAAAAGUAAGUGGUGCUUGCCUCCAAUGGUCCAAUCACAGCAUUGUGGAUCUUCCCGGAGGUGUAGAAAAAAUAUUGAUACUUUGUAUGUUCCCCCUCUGCUUUUGCACUAUAUUCCCCUGCUUUUGUUCCGUACUCGACUAUAGUUUCAGCGUCCUUGUCUUCUGUUAUCCACGAUACUCUCAUCUUAUCUUUCCCCACCAAUGAAAUAUGCACCUGCACAUUAAUAACAUACAGCUUGCAUAAAAUUGAUACCUUGUGAAAAUUGAAAUCAUGCAACUAACUUAAUUAUGUACGGUGAAUUACCUGUUGGGGCUCCGAAUCGGAACGAUGGUGGGGAGUGAUGAUGAGAUUCCUGGCGGGCUGGCGAACAAAAUCUCCAGUACUCUCUUGAGAUAGUAAAGGUUGUGGGAACAAAAGGAGGCAUAGGGUGUGUAAGAGGAGCGGGAAGGCCAUGAGAGAUUUACUAAAUUUCUUCAUUUUGUUGUUUUGGCUUGAACUUGUUAAUGGAUGUAACUUGUAGCUGUGAGUGAAGGGUCUUAAUAGGGAGGACGAGAUAUAUAAUGGGGUUGCAGAAAGAAGACUUGUUGAGAUGAAACUCAUUUAUUUAAAAUAGCAAUUUUUUGUUCACUUGGAUUGGGGGAGGCCGGGAGGGUACGUGCUUGCAUGUGUUUCCUAGUAUAAGAUUUGUGAAAAAUAUGUUAUCUUAAGAGUUCCAGCAAAGACCAACUGGAAGUCUAUAUUCCAUCGUACUUAAACCUUGUUUGUUUAAGAGAGUACAUCACUAAUCCCCUCACCACGUUGUGUAUGCAAUAAACGAUAAGUAACUGAUCACGAAAUAUGUUUUAUUAAUUAAUUUCCAUAUAUAGAUAAUAAUUGAACCGAACCUCAUAUAUAUGAUUUAUGGGACGAUGCAAACUUAUCACCCACCACGUGUUUAGGGUCAAAAUUUACACAAUUAAUUCUAUAUAUGGACCGAACCUCAUAUAUAUGGUUUAUGAGACGAUGCAAACUUAUCACCACGCCACGUAUUUAGGGUGAAAAUUUACACAAUUAACUUCACAUAUGGAUAGGUAAGAAGGUGUGUUAGUGUGUAUAUAUAUAUAUAUAACCCGCCACACCGGUAAAAGUAAGUGGUGCUUGCCUCCAAUGGUCCAAUCACAGCAUUGUGGAUCUUCCCGGAGGUGUAGAAAAAAUAUUGAUACUUUGUAUGUUCCCCCUCUGCUUUUGCACUAUAUUCCCCUGCUUUUGUUCCGUACUCGACUAUAGUUUCAGCGUCCUUGUCUUCUGUUAUCCACGAUACUCUCAUCUUAUCUUUCCCCACCAAUGAAAUAUGCACCUGCACAUUAAUAACAUACAGCUUGCAUAAAAUUGAUACCUUGUGAAAAUUGAAAUCAUGCAACUAACUUAAUUAUGU